AGUGAACGCUGGCGGUAGGCCUAACACAUGCAAGUCGAACGGCAGCACAGUAAGAGCUUGCUCUUACGGGUGGCGAGUGGCGGACGGGUGAGGAAUACAUCGGAAUCUACUUUUUCGUGGGGGAUAACGUAGGGAAACUUACGCUAAUACCGCAUACGACCUACGGGUGAAAGCAGGGGAUCUUCGGACCUUGCGCGAUUGAAUGAGCUGAUGUCGGAUUAGCUAGUUGGCGGGGUAAAGGCCCACCAAGGCGACGAUCCGUAGCUGGUCUGAGAGGAUGAUCAGCCACACUGGAACUGAGACACGGUCCAGACUCCUACGGGAGGCAGCAGUGGGGAAUAUUGGACAAUGGGCGCAAGCCUGAUCCAGCCAUACCGCGUGGGUGAAGAAGGCCUUCGGGUUGUAAAGCCCUUUUGUUGGGAAAGAAAAGCAGCAGGUUAAUACCCCGCUGCUCUGACGGUACCCAAAGAAUAAGCACCGGCUAACUUCGUG
This 492-nucleotide ribosomal RNA is filed under the name uncultured bacterium. RNAcentral's name for it is "partial 16S ribosomal RNA". It matches the Rfam family "Bacterial small subunit ribosomal RNA", at positions 29 to 507 of the family's 1533-position model. The record is from RNAcentral.